AAAACCAAGAGCUAAUAAGUGCGUGCAUGUCCGUGUGUAAGUAGCACGUAUUUUCCCCCAGUGAUCGUUUCUCUUCCGUCGAGUCGACCGUCGUCGUCGCGUUGUGUGUGUCAUACUACGAUAAGUCCAGUGAAGGAGCUACUUUCGCGAGGUGUGUGCGAGUGUAUAUUUGUACGAACGCUGCGCUGCAUAUUGCAAAACACGAGUGCGCAGCGUCGACGACGACGUUAUCAUCCGCCCCAUAUAAAUGACCAGUUGAGAAAAUGCGCCGCGCUGCUGCUGGCCAUCGCGGGCGAGUCUUCCUGGGGACGGCUGUGCUCGCCCUACUCGUGUGGCAAGCUGAGGCCUCUGAUGCAGAUGUCAGACUUACGCACGAUGGGCCUGCCGUGCUUGGAAGCACCAUCACCUUUAAGGCAGAACUUGUGGAUAGCGAUGGGCGAGCUCCGUCAGGAAGUUUUCAAUACACAUGGAGAGAUAAUGCUGUGGAGCAGCAUUAUUAUGAGACUGAAACUACAUCAAACACAACAGUUUACUAUAGUGUAAGUUAUCCUGCUUCAAAAUACCAUGUGGGUGAAUACACAAUGGAAGUAGCUGUUUGCAAAUGGGGAUGGCUUAGUAUUCACUGUGGAGACUAUACAAGCAGAAGGGUGUAUUUUCGAGUCAGUCCUUUGAUGAAUGGAAAUAUAACCAUUGAACAAUCUAAUCAGACUGUGAGCACUGAGUUUGUAGCUUCAUCUGAAGUAGCUAAAAUAUCUGUUAACUUGCGUAAGGGUGAUCUUGAUUAUAUAACGAAGGCAGCAACAUCAAUUACAACUUAUUGGUUUGUUGACUGCAAAGCUUACAACCAAACUAAUGACUUCACGUUUGUUCACAACUUUACAAAUCCCAAGUCUUUCCACACUAUUGAAGCUCUUGUGGUAGCUUCUUUUGAGCCACCAACUACAACAACUGUAGCCCCAACAACUACAAGCACUACACCAUCACCUGUACCAACAACUCCUAAACCAUCCAAUAAUACUGAUACAAACUCAACCACAACUACAACCACAACUACAACUACUACACCUACACCUACAACCACUCCUACACUACCAACUACAACCAUAGCUCCUCGAAAUUCUACCGUUUUGUCAAAUGCAACAGUUCCAUUACUGGCAAAUGCUACAUUCCCUUACAUAUGCAACUCAAUCUUGGAUCCCAAACCAAAUACAACGUAUGGUUAUUUUCAAAGAGAAGUUAAAAUAAGAGCUCCAAUUUCAAAAUUAUCAAUCGAAGGUUCAACGUGGAUUCAACCGUGGAACAGUCUUUCUUUAUCAAUAUCCUGCAAUGGCACGGGUCCAUUUUAUAAGUGCAUUGAAAUCCACCUGGGAAAAUACAAUGUUACUGGCAAUGAGACUUGUAGUCAGGACAGUGACAAAUUGGAAACUUGUAAAUUUAACUUUGAGCAUUAUUUUCUCGAGCCUCUUGAAUACACAGUUUUGAUAAUACUGGGCAAUGAAGUCAGCAAAGAAAUUCAUCCUGUAGCAGUUAACAUUUAUAAACUGAUGCCGAAGCCGCAGCUGUCAGUAAUCGUGGUGCCAGUCUCCUGUUCCUUGGUGGCGAUCGUGCUAAUCAUUUUCGGCAUCGCCUACUACGUUCAGAACAGAUCGCGCUUCACUGUGGAGGUUGCAGACUUUGAUUUCGGACAGAGCACCGCCGACAUGGAGUAUAAGACGUUCACCGAGCGACUGCGAGACUCGUUCAAUAAUGCUGUAAGGCCCGGCUCCCAACACGAAAGAUUGUUAGGCGCGAACUCGCUCGGUACAUACGGGAGCAUGAACUAAUGACAAACUUCUCGGAUACUUGAAAUCAAUCUACGCUUUCACACGCAUUAAAAUCUUUAGCGGUGAUAAAUAACGCUUGUUGAACCGAUACGGACGGCUAUUUUUAACUUGAAACUGACACUCUCUUAUAUGAAAAUACUUGAGAAAUUCUUUCUCGUAUUUUUCAAUGCACAUACGUAGAAUUAAUUUUUCUAACAAAGAGUGUACAUGGUUUUAACCAACCAAGAGGUAGCAACAUCCGUCUCGGGUUACAAACAACUGAAUAACACGAAAGGCUUGCAAUGACAAAGCGCACAAGAGAACGCGGAACAGUGAUGAGGAUAAACAUCACGAGCAAGACGAGAACGCAGCAUACGAAAUUUGAUGACCCACUAAAAUCGAUUGAAUCCUCGAGGUCCCGCAUCUCUGGGCUGCAGUAUUGUUAUAGAUAUUAAGUGUGUUUUCGAUCGAUGCGCGAUAAUCAGGAGACCACGUUAGAUUAUUCGAGGAUAAUUGUACAUAUAAUCAUUGGACAGAAGGAGAAUAAAAUGCGAUGCGUAAGAGUAUACUGAUGUUUCACGCAUGUAAGAGGCUGUGAGAGAGUGGCAAUGAAGAAGAGUUAAUGAGAAAGUGAAUGCGCGUUGGUAACAUUGCGUUAGCGCAUCGACGUGCUCCACAUUCUAUAUGUCUGUCGACGGAGUUGUGACUGCUUGUGUCUUUUUCACAACGUUACUAUACGUGCGAUUGUUUUCCCUUUUUAAAAAAAAAAUCUCCUUGUCUUCGGUUUUAUUUCCCAAUUAUUAUCGACACGACAGAUCGUGCAAGUAUCUAUUUAUUACCCUUUUAUGCAAUUUUUUAAUAAACAUGUAUACAUGUAUCGUUGCGACGUAAUACCAUUUUUCACAUGGUCAGAUUUUUUCAUACUGUACACGGCCAUUUCUAAUUUUUUAUUUUUCAUAUAAUAUAUAAAUGAUAUUGUACUGUAUAUUUAUAAAUUACGAUUACGCUGUUGAUCGACGAAGAAAGAAAUGUUUGCGCUCGGGUAUAUUUUAUUAUUUAUAUUUAUAGCGAUUAAAUGAUACUUCGAGAAUGUGUAAGAAUUGUAAAAUAUUAGAGAACUAUAUAAUUAUACGAUGAUAUCAUGACGUCACUAACGACACUGAAUUGUUUUGUUAACGCGAAUAUACAUACGCAUAAGAAUAAAAUGGCGAAACGGGCAAAUUAAAAAAGGUAUAGCCAAUUUACAAUAAACGAAUAAUGAAAACUGACA
RNA transcript from Nasonia vitripennis (jewel wasp), 3072 nucleotides. It is a transcript of the gene named A-agglutinin anchorage subunit, with no coding region annotated. The record is from RefSeq and is a predicted model, not a curated record. The transcript is spliced from 8 exons. Lineage: Eukaryota; Metazoa; Arthropoda; Insecta; Hymenoptera; Pteromalidae.